This 421-nucleotide long non-coding RNA is filed under the name Mytilus galloprovincialis (Mediterranean mussel). Lineage: Eukaryota; Metazoa; Mollusca; Bivalvia; Mytilida; Mytilidae. The record is from RNAcentral.
AACAAAGCCAGCCAGUUCUCAACCAAUCAUUAUGGAAGAAUGUCUCAAGGCAGAUGAUUUUGUUUUGACAAAUCUGGAAAAGUACAGCGAUGAGUGGCCACAAAUUGGAAAAGUAAUUUCAAUUUGUGGUCACAAUAUACAUAUACUAUGGUAUAAGGGCAGUAAAUCUACAAGUACAGUUCCUAUUUUAGGACAGAGAGGAAAAAGGGAGCCUUUCACUGAAACAGUAACAAGAGACCAAAUUUGGAAAAGUGGUUUCAAAUUGACCAACAACGGACACCUACCGAAAUCUGUCAAGAAUUCCAUUGACAGAUAUUGAAUAAAAUAUUUAUUUUAACAGAUAGAAUGCACUUUAUUAUUUUAAAAAGUUUAUGAAUAGCAGCUAAUUAUAUAAAAGAGCCUAGAAGUAAUUUAAGUUACC